This 239-nucleotide ribosomal RNA is filed under the name uncultured bacterium. RNAcentral describes it as "partial 16S ribosomal RNA". It matches the Rfam family "Bacterial small subunit ribosomal RNA", at positions 524 to 760 of the family's 1533-position model. The record is from RNAcentral.
UACGUAGGUGGCAAGCGUUACUCGGAAUUACUAGGCGUAAAGCGCAGGUAGGCGGUCUGAAAAGUUUCUUGUGAAAGCUCCCGGCUCAACUGGGAGAGGCCAAGGAAAACUGUCAGGCUAGAGUGUGGCAGAGGAAGCUAGAAUUCCUGGUGUAGCGGUGAAAUGCGUAGAUAUCAGGAGGAAUACCUAUGGCGAAAAGCAGGCUUCUGGGCUAUCACUGACGCUGGAUCUGCGAAAAG